GUUAAACGGCCGCGGUAUUCUGACCGUGCUAAGGUAGCGUAAUCACUUGUCUUUUAAAUGAAGACCCGUAUGAAUGGCAUCACGAGGGCUCAGCUGUCUCCUCUCUUUAGUCAAUGAAAUUGAUCUGCCCGUGCAGAAGCGGACAUGAUAACAUAAGACGAGAAGACCCUAUGGAGCUUAAGACAAAGGGCCAACCAUGUUAAACUACUAAUGAACCGACCGGGUUAAGAAGUAAUCAAGCUCUGUGGCACAUGGCCGGAAUGUCUUCGGUUGGGGCGACCUCGGAGGAAAACCAAGCCUCCGCGUGGAAUGGGGGUAAUGACCUUCCCCUAGAACUAAGAACCACAAAUCUAAGUAGCAAAAAUUUUGACCAUUAAUGACCCGGAAUAAAUCCGAUCAACGAACCAAGUUACCCUAGGGAUAACAGCGCAAUCCCUUCCCAGAGUCCAUAUCGACGAAGGGGUUUACGACCUCGAUGUUGGAUCAGGACAUCCUAAUGGUGCAGCCGCUAUUAAGGGUUCGUUUGUUCAACGAUUAAAGUCCU
This 544-nucleotide ribosomal RNA is filed under the name Polyacanthonotus rissoanus (smallmouth spiny eel). RNAcentral's name for it is "partial 16S ribosomal RNA". It matches the Rfam family "Bacterial large subunit ribosomal RNA", at positions 1922 to 2597 of the family's 2925-position model. The record is from RNAcentral. Lineage: Eukaryota; Metazoa; Chordata; Actinopteri; Notacanthiformes; Notacanthidae.